UGCCAGCCGCCGCGGUAAUACAGAGGGUGCAAGCGUUAAUCGGACUGACUGGGCGUAAAGGGCACGUAGGUGGUUUAUCAAGUGUUGUUUGAAAAUCCCGGGCUUAACCUGGGAGGGUGAUGACAGACUGAUAGACUAGAGUCCAAGAGAGGGAAGGGGAAUUUCCGGAGUAGCGGUGAAAUGCGUAGAUAUCGGAAGGAACAUCAGUGGCGAAGGCGCCUUCCUGGCUUGAGACUGACACUGAGGUGCGAAAGCGUGGGUAGCGAACAGGAUUAGAUA
This 279-nucleotide ribosomal RNA is filed under the name uncultured bacterium. RNAcentral's name for it is "partial 16S ribosomal RNA". It matches the Rfam family "Bacterial small subunit ribosomal RNA", at positions 506 to 784 of the family's 1533-position model. The record is from RNAcentral.